RNAcentral lists this ribosomal RNA (910 nucleotides) under uncultured bacterium. Its description in RNAcentral is "bacterial SSU rRNA". It matches the Rfam family "Bacterial small subunit ribosomal RNA", at positions 33 to 936 of the family's 1533-position model. The record is from RNAcentral.
ACGCUAGCUACAGGCUUAACACAUGCAAGUCGAGGGGCAGCAUGGUCUUAGCUUGCUAAGGCCGAUGGCGACCGGCGCACGGGUGAGUAACACGUAUCCAACCUGCCGUCUACUCUUGGACAGCCUUCUGAAAGGAAGAUUAAUACAAGAUGGCAUCAUGAGUUCACAUGUUCACAUGAUUAAAGGUAUUCCGGUAGACGAUGGGGAUGCGUUCCAUUAGAUAGUAGGCGGGGUAACGGCCCACCUAGUCUUCGAUGGAUAGGGGUUCUGAGAGGAAGGUCCCCCACAUUGGAACUGAGACACGGUCCAAACUCCUACGGGAGGCAGCAGUGAGGAAUAUUGGUCAAUGGGCGCAGGCCUGAACCAGCCAAGUAGCGUGAAGGAUGACUGCCCUAUGGGUUGUAAACUUCUUUUAUAAAGGAAUAAAGUCGGGUAUGUAUACCCGUUUGCAUGUACUUUAUGAAUAAGGAUCGGCUAACUCCGUGCCAGCAGCCGCGGUAAUACGGAGGAUCCGAGCGUUAUCCGGAUUUAUUGGGUUUAAAGGGAGCGUAGAUGGAUGUUUAAGUCAGUUGUGAAAGUUUGCGGCUCAACCGUAAAAUUGCAGUUGAUACUGGAUAUCUUGAGUGCAGUUGAGGCAGGCGGAAUUCGUGGUGUAGCGGUGAAAUGCUUAGAUAUCACGAAGAGCUCCGAUUGCGAAGGCAGCCUGCUAAGCUGCAACUGACAUUGAGGCUCGAAAGUGUGGGUAUCAAACAGGAUUAGAUACCCUGGUAGUCCACACGGUAAACGAUGAAUACUCGCUGUUUGCGAUAUACAGCAAGCGGCCAAGCGAAAGCGUUAAGUAUUCCACCUGGGGAGUACGCCGGCACGGUGAAACUCAAAGGAAUUGACGGGGGCCCGCACAAGCGGAGGA